CCAAUAGCGUAUAUUAAAGUUGUUGCAGUUAAAAAGCUCGUAGUUGAAUUUCGGGAUCAAUAUGCUGGUCGUGUCAUUGGUACGUACUGGUAUUAUUGAUUUCUCCCUUCUGAUGAAUCAUGAUGUCAUUAAUUUGAUGUCAUGGGGAAUCAGGACUGUUACUUUGAAAAAAUUAGAGUGUUUAAAGCAGGCUCGCGCUUGAAUACAUUAGCAUGGAAUA
Molecule: ribosomal RNA, 220 nt
Filed under: uncultured Glomus
Lineage: Eukaryota; Fungi; Glomeromycota; Glomeromycetes; Glomerales; Glomeraceae
Description: partial small subunit ribosomal RNA
Rfam family: Eukaryotic small subunit ribosomal RNA
Source: RNAcentral